This 460-nucleotide ribosomal RNA is filed under the name uncultured bacterium. RNAcentral describes it as "partial 16S ribosomal RNA". It matches the Rfam family "Bacterial small subunit ribosomal RNA", at positions 338 to 795 of the family's 1533-position model. The record is from RNAcentral.
CCUACGGGUGGCAGCAGUGAGGAAUAUUGGUCAAUGGGCGCGAGCCUGAACCAGCCAAGCAGCGUGAAGGAUGACUGCCCUACGGGUUGUAAACUUCUUUUAUAAAGGAAUAAAGUGAGGCACGUGCGCCUUUUUGAAUGUACUUUAUGAAUAAGGAUCGGCUAACUCCGUGCCAGCAGCCGCGGUAAUACGGAGGAUUCGAGCGUUAUCCGGAUUUAUUGGGUUUAAAGGGAGCGUAGAUGGGUUGUUAAGUCAGUUGUGAAAGUUUGCGGCUCAACCGUAAAAUUGCCAUGGAUACUGGCAGUCUUGAGUACAGGUGAGGUAGGCGGAAUUCGUGGUGUAGCGGUGAAAUGCUUAGAUAUCACGCAGAACUCCGAUGGCGAAGGCAGCUUACUAGACUGCCACUGACAUUGAUGCUCGAAAGUGUGGGUAUCAAACAGGAUUAGAUACCCUAGUAGUC